GUCACAAGACCAUCCCUUCCUCCCCCUUGGAAGGAAGCCGAUUGCUUAAGGGCUGGUGCCAUCACCCCAAUAGACAACAACUGAAUUCAAAUAAAUCCUUCAAGUGAGCCUGGUGUCCGGCGUGGAUCAGAGUUUCUCUUCCUGCCACCCGUGUGCGUUUUUUCCAAAUUUGUACACUAACCUCCGGUCAACCCGCUCCAAAAUUCCUGUUUUAUAGUAGUAUCUGUGAAAGCAAGCAAAAGAGAGAAAUCCAGAGAAGGUUUGCACCACAAGAAAACAACUGCGCACAAACGCUCCUCGCCCUCUCAGGUUCACUGCAUCGGAUUCUGCCCACUUACCUCAGGGCUCGGCUCAGCUUCUCAUACGUCAUCCUGUCGUUCUUCUUCCU
This is a long non-coding RNA of Apodemus sylvaticus (European woodmouse), 388 nucleotides long. RefSeq lists it as uncharacterized. The record is from RefSeq and is a predicted model, not a curated record. The transcript has 3 exons. NCBI's taxonomy places the organism in Eukaryota, Metazoa, Chordata, Mammalia, Rodentia, Muridae.